RNAcentral lists this ribosomal RNA (253 nucleotides) under uncultured bacterium. Its description in RNAcentral is "partial 16S ribosomal RNA". It matches the Rfam family "Bacterial small subunit ribosomal RNA", at positions 524 to 776 of the family's 1533-position model. The record is from RNAcentral.
UACGUAGGGAGCAAGCGUUGUCCGGAAUCAUUGGGCGUAAAGCGCGCGUAGGUGGCUUCGUAAGUCCGUUGUGAAAGUCAAAGGCUCAACCUUUGAAAGCCGGUGGAUACUGCGGAGCUAGAGUCCGGAAGAGGCGAGUGGAAUUCCUGGUGUAGCGGUGGAAUGCGCAGAUAUCAGGAGGAACACCAAUAGCGAAGGCAGCUCGCUGGGACGGUACUGACACUGAGGCGCGAAAGCGUGGGGAGCGAACAGG